This 3576-nucleotide long non-coding RNA is filed under the name Homo sapiens (human). Its description in RNAcentral is "HSALNT0076414". The record is from RNAcentral. Lineage: Eukaryota; Metazoa; Chordata; Mammalia; Primates; Hominidae.
CUUUACCCCUGAUGUCAAUUCCUGUGCUUUGCUUAAUAAAAAUAAAAAAAUACCUCUUGCAGAUUUUAGGCUUUUUCAGAGAGCCAGCCAGAGGAUCCUUCCACCUCACCUCUGCUGUCUCCCUUUUGCUCAACCACAAGUCCCAAAAUAAAAAUCUUGUCUGGGAAAUCUGCUUGGCCCUGUGUUAACUUCUGUUACAUGGGAGCCAAAGAGCCUGUGGUCUGUAACAGGUUCUCUGGCAACCAUGACGGGAUUAUAGGACGUGGUGAGCAUUUUUCUCCAAGGAGGAGGCUUGUGAGCCAGCAUGAUGGCGGGGUGUGCCUGCCUCCUUCAUGGGUGACAGGUGGUCACCUGAAUCUUUGAUUCAGCAUUGCCACAACUGCAUGGCUUGGCCCCCACAGCUAUGGCACAGGGAGCAGGGUCAUCAAAAUCCACUCUGCUCUUCCAGAAGCUGCAGAGAGAGGGAACCCUAAAACCUGACAUGCCAGAAAAGAUGGAGUUUUGCUCUUGUUGCCCAAGCUGGAGUGCAAUAGCGCAAUCUCGGCUCACUGCAACCUCUGUCUCCCAGGUUCAAGUGAUUCUCGUGCCUCAGCCUUCCAAGUAGCUGGGGUUGCAGGCAUGCACCACCACACCCCACUAAUUUUUGUAUUUUUAGUAGAGAUGGGGUUUCACCAUGUUGGCCAGGCUGGUCUCAAACUCCUGACUUCAGGUGAUCCGUCUGCCUCAGCCUUCCAAAGUGCUGGGAUUACAGGCGUGUGCCACCACGCCCGGCCUGAUUACCAGAUUUUCUUGUUGAUUGUGUCAUUAGUCAUGGCUAUCCUAAGACUUUUGCCAUCCACAGACAAUUGUUAUCUUGUUUUGAUUCUUUUCAAAAGGCAGUUUAUAAUCAGCUAUAGAACUCUGACAGGUGUUCUUGAAAGCAAGUCUCUGAUAACUUUGGAGAUUGGACUAUUAGAAUAGAGGAAAAAACUUCUAAGACUUUCCUGGAGAUGUUACAUGUUAAUAAAUAUUGAGUGGAACAAGAGUUAAUUGCAUGGACUAAACUAAUAGAAAAUCGAAAUAAUCUUUUUAUAAAUUUCCUGAAAUUCUGCUGAUCCUUUUUGUUUUGGUUUUCAGAGUCAAGAAAACUUUUUUCCUGUUGAACUAGUUAUAUCUUUUAACAAUUAACUACUAUAUAUUCCUAUAAGCAAAUUUGGAGCAUGUUUCUUUCUACCUGAUUUCUUUAGAAUUUGGAAACUAUUUGUGACUAUUCUUAACUUAUGGCAAUAUAGUUAUUUGCAUAAGUUCAAUAAGAAUCUGUUUUCUUUUGUAACAGAACACAAGUGGGGACACUGGCUAUUUUACCAGGCUUUUGACUGAAAUGGCAUGCUUCCAACUGCUUUAAAAAUUUGAGGUUGACUUAUAAAGCCGAUAAAAAGCCCCUUGGAGAAACUGGCCUCAUACCUUGUCUAUGCAGUCCCUGUAUAGAGUAAAAAAUGUCACUUUCUAACAGGUUCUGGAACUCCAAGUUGUAUUGGGACCUUAAGAGGGGAGGAAUUCACACAAUUCAUACAAGUAUUUAUAGGGACAGAUAAAUCAGUGGCUAGGUUCAAGGCUUUAAAAAGUCUAAGCUAAGGUUCCUUACAGAACAAAGUUCCCGCAAAAUAAAAAAUAUAUAUAUAUGAGAGUCUAUACGACAAAUAAUUAUUCUUGCUGCACUUUAUGCAAAUAAUCAGGCCAAGUAUAAUAAGACUAAAACUUAAUUGCAAACAAAUCAGUACUACCAUGAUUUGUCUUUGAUAAAAGUGAAACUGGAGACAAAAAGACCAUAACAUACCUGUUGUUAGAUUCUAGUCUUGUCCAUUGUUAUUGAGUUUUAAAAUAUUAUUUUCUAUGCAACAAAUAUCCAAGCUAACAUUUUCAAGUUUUUCUUCCAUUUUUCUGAGUUAAACACAAUAAAAUUGCUAGUAUCUCUUUUCUAAGGCCCUGCAGACUAAAGUUUAUUUCUUAUAACACAGGCAAGAAAAAUGUGUCAGAUUGCCAGCAUCUUCCUCCUCUGUAACUAAAGAUGCUUUGAGUGUAACGUCUGGGUAGAUUAUGCCCACGAUUAAUGUUUGUUUUUCUUCUGGUUCCAUAUAAAUGCCUCUUAUUAAAAGUCUAUUUGUCUUAUAUUUUGACAACAGGAGGUUGGUUCUCCAGUCAAUUCACUUACAUUUCAAAUGGCAUCUGAUCUCUUCUUAUAAGCAUUGUUAAACUGGGCUUAAGCAUUUUAUUAAUCACUGGGUGCUAUUUGAUUUUUAAAAUAAUUAUUUAUUAUAUUCAACAGGGGUACAGAUAAUUAAAGUUUAUGUCUUCAGGCUUCAGCCAUUCCAAGUCACGCUACUGAUGGCCCAAGGAGUCCAACCCUUACCAUCACAGGAGGAUCCUAGUUCCUACUAAUCUUUAGAACAGUCAGUGAAAAAUUUCCAUGCCCUCCAAGGUUAGGCAGGGAUGACAAUCCUAUUCAGUAGGAAGUAGCUUCAGAAGAUGAGAUAUUUGGCCCUCUCUAAGAAUAAGGAGAAUAUAAUCUCUCAGGGAGGAACUGAGAUAGAAUAGGAGUGGGAUGUGGCUCCCUCUUCACAUAUUUUUUCUUCUUUAUUCUCUUCACAAAAUCCACAGCACUAUCUUGCUGAUGCUAUACCAACUAAUCCUGAGGCUUUAGUCACACAUAGAAAACAGUCAUUCUUCUGUGCUCUCAUAAUGUUUAACCACACCUUUUAUUUAAAAUAUUCUAAAAGUUGGACUUAGGAAAUCUUAACACUGAACCACAAUUGCAGAGUGUCCCACCUCGGGAAAGAAUGCUGAACAAUUGAUUUACAGCCUUGUCGUUGCUGGCCAGACCACCAGGUGGCCCAUUACUCAAGAUAACCAUAGCAACAAGAUGCGCUGACCUGCAUACCCUACCCAUCAUGUGCUUUGCCCAGCUCAGCCUGAAUGUUUUACCCCUGAUGUCAAUUCCUGUGCUUUGCCUAAUCAAGCAAACAAAAAACCCUACUGGAUUUUUUUAAGGAGCCAUCCAGAGGAUUCUUACACCUCACUUCUGCUGUCUCCCUUGCACUUCAGCACAAGCCCCAAAAUAAAAGCUUUGUCUGGGAAAUCUGCUUGGCCUCGUGUUAAUUUCCAUUACAGGGGAGGCCAAAGACCCUGUGAUCUAUAACUCUCUCUCUCUUUCUGUCAUAAAUUAAUGAAUGAAAACUGAAAUGCAUCCAAUGCCACGGAGAACUUUUAUUAGUGAUCAUUUCACUUAAUAAUUUAAUUCGUCUCACCACACCUUGUUUCUUCAGCCAUAAAAUAGGGUUUAUAAUGUAUCUACUUUGUAGGGCUGUUGGGAGGCAGAGAAAAUAUGUAUAAGAUGCCUAGAUUUGUGCUCACACGAAGUAAACGCCUAAUAAAUGUUGGCAUUAAACAUUUAUAUGAAGAAUGUUUUGAUUUUCAUGUUCUUUUUGAAUACUUUUUACUUCUUCAAUUUUCUACAAUGAGAAGAAUUACUUAAUAAUCACAAAGCAAAACAAAGCAUGAAGGGCUUUAGAAAAAUCUCUGGGUGAUAUUAAUUCAAUA